GAGGUUGUAGCUCAGUGGUAGAGCAUGUGCUUAGUAUGUACGAGGCCCUGGGUUCAUUCCCCAGCACCAACA
RNAcentral lists this transfer RNA (72 nucleotides) under Fukomys damarensis (Damara mole-rat). It matches the Rfam family "tRNA". Rfam says of the family: Transfer RNA (tRNA) molecules are approximately 80 nucleotides in length. The record is from Rfam by way of RNAcentral. Lineage: Eukaryota; Metazoa; Chordata; Mammalia; Rodentia; Bathyergidae.